GACGAACGCUGGCGGCGUGCUUAACACAUGCAAGUCGAGCGGAAAGGCCCUUCGGGGUCCUCGAGCGGCGAACGGGUGGGUAACACGGGAGUAACCUGACAUAGGCUUUGGGAUAACGGCGGGAAACCGGGGCUAAUAACGGAAAUGAGGUGGUGCCGCAGAGUGGUGGGGGGCAAGAUUGUUCGGCAUGGGAUGGGUUCGCGGCAUAUCAGCUUGUGGGGGGGGUGAUGGCCUACAAGGGCGAUGACGGGUAGGCGGCCUGAGAGGUCGACCGGCCACACUGGUCCUGAGACACGGACCAGUCUCCUACGGGAGGCAGCAGUGGGGAAUAUUGCACAAUGGGCGGACGCCUGAUGCAGCGACGCCGUGUGCGGGAUGAAGGCCUUCGGGUUGUAAACCUCUUUCAGCAGGGACGAAGCGUGAGUGACGGUACCUGCAGAAGAAGCGCCGGCCAACUACGUG
Molecule: ribosomal RNA, 462 nt
Filed under: uncultured bacterium
Lineage: Bacteria
Description: partial 16S ribosomal RNA
Rfam family: Bacterial small subunit ribosomal RNA
Source: RNAcentral